AACGCAUAUUGCACUCUUUGGUAUUCCGAAGAGUAUGCCUGUUUGAGGGUCAUUUGAAAAUUAAUCUAGAUAAUUUAUUGUCUGGGAAUUAAUGAAUUUUCCGUCAUCUUUUUGUUGAUGGUAAUUUGAAAUUAAUGCUAGGUCUUUGCUUGUAAAAGACGCGUUUAUGUACAUUGUAUAAUCUUCGCAACUAAUCAAGCUGUCUCUGCUAGUUUUAAUUAUCCAUUUUGAAAAGAAAGGAUAUUAAACAAUACUUUCUUAAAUAAUCGUGACCUCAAAUCAGGUAAGAAUACCCGCUGAACUUAA
Molecule: unclassified non-coding RNA, 306 nt
Filed under: uncultured Archaeosporaceae
Lineage: Eukaryota; Fungi; Glomeromycota; Glomeromycetes; Archaeosporales; Archaeosporaceae
Description: sequence contains ITS2
Rfam family: 5.8S ribosomal RNA (bases 1-52)
Source: RNAcentral